This 1591-nucleotide ribosomal RNA is filed under the name Triticum aestivum (bread wheat). RNAcentral's name for it is "partial small subunit ribosomal RNA". The record is from RNAcentral. Lineage: Eukaryota; Viridiplantae; Streptophyta; Magnoliopsida; Poales; Poaceae.
CCAGGUCCUAUGUGGAUACCCGCAUGUACAAACCGGGUAGCCGGACGAAGACGGGGAGAGGAAUAGGAGCGGCACCCCAACGCGGCCGGUGGAGAGCAGACGAGUACCGCGGCGGUGUGGGUUGGAGGCGAGGUUGCGACGCGGACACUCCGCUGCCGACCUCGCGAACAGGAGAAGGUGAUGCCGCCGGUUUCACGGUUUGGUGGGCCUAGGCCACAGUAGAAGGUGAGGCCGCCGGUCUAGUCAAGCUCAAACCCGUUGUGCUCUAGAAGGCUCCUGCGCCAGGAGCAGGUGCCUAGACCGGCACUCUUUAGUAAAAGAAGUAACAAAGGCAGCCACUCCGGCCUAGUGCUGGACAUUAACACGAAAAGAGGAUCAACAAGUAAACAAGGUCUAAACGUACAAAAACCAAUAAAAAACUAAAACAAGGAAAAUAAGGAAACCAUUACGACUAGACCGACCAAAGCGGCCCCACGUGCACACGUAGUUUCGAUGGCCGCCGUCAAGCAAAACCAACUCUCCCGCACGAAAGGUUCACUUAUUAGACUUGAUAUCGCGGAGAAUGAUUAAAAGGAGAAUCGAUAAACCCAAUCAGAGACUGGUAUCGAGUCAGAUCACUUAUAAAAAAACCAGGAUCUAAGACUUUAGGACUACUUGAUACACGGUGACUUAAAUCCUAUUUAAUCUCAAGUCUAGUCUGUGUGUGUAAUACUAAAUCUCAAGUACGACAAACCCAACUAAACCUAAACAUUUGUCUCAACGAGAUCAACAAACCGAGGUCCAAUCGUCUCUCGACUACGUACACUGUUCUCCCUAAUGAAUAUUACCCGAACCUAAAGCAGCUACCAACACAACAUGUAAGGACCUAAAAAAAAAUGACAAAAAUACCCGUUAAAUAACAUAACCAGCCAACUUGACAACAAACUAAAGGAGAUGUGAACAUCGUUCGUCGAAAAAAUCUAGUUCCUUCAUCGUUCGUCGAACCAAGACCAAUACUUAUUAGAAACCAUGUUUUUGACUAUACACCACACGAAGAUCAAUUUCUUUUUUUACCAAAUCACAAAAACCACAACAGAAACACAACCAAACUGUGUGGUCCUUCGUUCUAACAAAACAAGACAAAGUCGAAUAAAUCGACGUUCGAUUACCAAAUCCACGAAUGCAUAGAGUAACUGAAAUUAACAAACCGUAACACUAACGACGUAAUAAACAGCCAAUUGUCUACGACAAUAACUAUCGAUCGAACCAAUACAUGUUCAACACGACGACGUCGAGUACGGGGACCGUUGGUUCCUAGAACGACGCACUUCUCGAAAAGGGACAAGCACAACAACGUCGUGAACACAUGUUCACGAUGAAGUACAUCGGAGUUUAGCACAUUGAGAUAAAAAUAGUCCUACACUACGGCUACACUUGGUACAUGUGGAUAGAUAGAAGACUAACGUAAUCUCCUCUAUUCAACUAACAGAUUACAUUCCACACGGCGUACAAACCAGGAUUGCUCAAAAUUUUCUUUACAAAUGUAACAUUUGUCAAAGUAAUACGAGUUUUAACCGAUCACUCUCGUAAAAUAAGUAAACGGUUGACGCUG